Molecule: long non-coding RNA, 1593 nt
Organism: Bombyx mori (domestic silkworm)
Lineage: Eukaryota; Metazoa; Arthropoda; Insecta; Lepidoptera; Bombycidae
Exons: 2
Source: RefSeq, a predicted model, not a curated record
CAGCAUUUAAUCUAUUCUGAAUUUGACCACUAUAAGCCAUAAGAAAAGUUUGACAAUAAACAAAUAGUAUUCAUGUGUGUGUGUGUGUGUGUCAAAUACAUGGUAGUGUCUGUAAUGUUUUUAUUUAUUGAUUUAAGGUAUUUUUACGCAUAAUAUUUAAAAAAAAUUACGUUCUGCACUCCUCUGUAUUCUUUAUAAGUGUGAGAAAUUUCAUACUCCACCGUCCGCGCAAUUUUCGUAAAAAGUGGUACAAAGUUUUUGCUUCACGUAUUAAUAUAUAGAUGUAUAUGACUUUGGCAGAGUCGAGCGAGCAAUUUAAUCUUUAUUAAUUUACUCACGUGCUUUUCUCACUAACGGCCGUUUUCAAUAACCUAUCUAUCCCUAGUUUCGGUUACUAAAGAUAGACAAAUCUAUAUUUUUGUCCUUACUUACGUUCCAAUAACCUAUCGACGGGCAGCAGUUCCUAUCGGAUUUAUCUAUCCAUCGUCGGGAGGACGGAUAGCCUGCUAAAGAUAGAACGCUCAUACAAAUCGUGCUUACUUCCGUUUCAAUAUGAGUUUUAAGUAACUCUGCGGUAGGCGGCGCUAUCUCUAGUAUGGGCAUUCGCUUAUCUGUCAAAAUCGGCCGGUUACAUGUUUAUCUUUCGAAAGUAAAUCGCUAUAAUUUAAUAAUUGUUUCUCUUCAUAUUGGCAUAUUGUAGCAGUGAUGAUAGUGAUAUGGAAUUAUUUCAAAUGAUAAUGGAUUGUGAUGCAGAUAGUGAUAGUGAGGCCGAUAUCAUAUGGUUAGGAAAAUAAAGAUCGCCUGAAUUACAUGGCGAAGAUCAAUAAUUACGAAUUUGACUAUAGAUUUCUGAGCAAAGGUGUUGUGAAUCAAUUGAUUAAUUUAAUGAGACCAUAUUUGAGUGUAACGUCAAAAAGGUAAGAUAAAUUUUAACCAUAAAAGUACUCGUUAUUACAACUUAUAUUUGUUUAUAGCAAUAGCAAAAUUAUACCUAAUUUUUGUUGUGUUACAAAAUCACACUCAACAGGAAUUCUAUAAUACUGCUGGAUUCCCAUGGUGCCCUAAAUGACAUUCAUAUACAUAUACUAAUACAAUAACCUGGUAGGCUAUUUACCUUCAUUCUUAUUACACACUGAUACCUCUACAUUUUAUAUUUGUGUUACAGAUUCAAAUAUAGGAGAGGAAUUUAGAAAUAGAAAAAGAGCAUUUUGAAUGUGUAAUUUGUGUGCAAUGCAUCAUUGAUGUUUCAAAAUGUUGUUGCUUGAUGGCCUGACUCCAUGAUACAACUAUAAUUAACCAUUCCGAUUGAAAAGAUGCAUUGGUGUUUGUAAAAGAAGACUCCCUGUAUUAUCAUUGAAAAGUAGAUUAAAACUAGAAAAUAUGCAAGCUGUUAUUAUAGCUGCCAUGCUGCAUAAUAUCGUCAGGAGUAUGAAUUUAGAAGAAUUAGAAUCAGAAAUUUCAGUCGCAGAUACAUUACAGGAAAAUAAUAUAAUUGUUCGUAACAAUUUUCCAGAACGUACAUCUGAAAUACAACUACUUAUAAAUAAUUGCUUCCAAAGAUAAUUUAUAAAAUAAACUCCAAUGAUAAUUUGA